Molecule: long non-coding RNA, 937 nt
Filed under: Brassica napus (rape)
Lineage: Eukaryota; Viridiplantae; Streptophyta; Magnoliopsida; Brassicales; Brassicaceae
Description: long non-coding RNA (BNAP_LNC006411)
Source: RNAcentral
AUUUUUUGAUGAAUAGUUGUAUUUUAAAAAAUAUAAUUCUCAAAAUUUAUAUUUUAGGAUAGUUUUCAUUUUGGUGAAUAAUAGUGUGGAUUUGGGGUUUUGAUUUAGAAUUUAGGAUAAUAAAAAAAUUUUGUUGAUAGAUGGAGUAUUCUUUUAGAUUUUUUGAUGAAUAGUUGUAUUUUUUUAAAUAUAAUUCUCAAAAUAUCUAUUUUAGGAAAGUUUUCAUUUUGGUAAAUAAUAAUGUGGAUUUGGGGGUUUGAUUUAGAAAUUAUGAUAACAAGAUUUGUUUGUUGAUAGAUGGAGUAUUCUUUUAGAUUUUUUGAUGAAUAGUUGUAUUUUUUAAAUAUAAUUCUCAAAAUUUCUAUUUUAGGAAAGUUUUCAUUUUGGUGAAUAAUAGUGUGAAUUUGGGGAUUUGAUAUAGAAUUUAGGAUAACAAGAAUUAUUUGUUGAUAGAUGGAGAAUUCUUUUAGAUUUUUUGAUGAAUAGUUGUAUAUCUUAAAUAUAAUUCUCAAAAUUUCUAUUUUAGAAAAGUUUUCAUUUUGGUGAAUAAUAGUGUGGAUUUGGGGUUUUGUUUUAGAAAUUAGGAUAACAAGAAUUGUUUGUUGAUAGAUGGAGAAUUCUUUUAGAUUUUUUGAUGAAUAGUUGUAUUUUAAAAAAUAUAAUUCUCAAAAUUUCUAUUUUAGGAAAGUUUUCAUUUUGGUGAAUAAUAGUGUGGAUUUGAGGUUUUUAUUUAGAAUUUAAGAUAACUAGAAUUUUUGUUGAUAGAUGGAGUAUUCUUUUAGAUUUUUUGAUGAAUAGUUGUAUUUUAAAAAAUAUAAUUCUCAAAAUUUGUAUUUUAGGAAAGUUUUCAUUUUGGUGAAUAAUAGUGUGGAUUUGGGGUUUUGAUUUAUAAAUUAGGACAACCGGAGAGAGUACAAUAAUUAUAUCUGAGAUAAUU